UACGUAGGGUGCAAGCGUUGUCCGGAAUUAUUGGGCGUAAAGGGCUCGUAGGCGGUCCAUCGCGUCGGGUGUGAAAAGCUGGGGCUUAACCCCAGUCCUGCUUCCGAUACGGGUGGACUAGAGGUAGGCAGGGGAGAACGGAAUUCCUGGUGUAGCGGUGAAAUGCGCAGAUAUCAGGAGGAACACCGGUGGCGAAGGCGGUUCUCUGGGCCUGACCUGACGCUGAGGAGCGAAAGCAUGGGGAGCAAACAGG
RNAcentral lists this ribosomal RNA (253 nucleotides) under uncultured bacterium. RNAcentral's name for it is "partial 16S ribosomal RNA". It matches the Rfam family "Bacterial small subunit ribosomal RNA", at positions 524 to 776 of the family's 1533-position model. The record is from RNAcentral.